AUGGCGGCCCGGAGCCUGGCCGCAGCAGCGCCUCUGCUCCGCUGGAUCCGCGGGCUUCCACUUCACCACCGGAUGUUUGCCACCCAGACUGAGGGGGAGCUCAGAGUGACCCAAAUUCUCAAAGUUUCCGUGAGCUACAGCUGUCAAAGUCACUGACAUUUCAGGAGUUGUGGGACGAUGGAUGAAAUUAAAAUUGAAUCAGAAGAAUUAAGGAGAAGAGAACUGCCCAGCAACACCAGAUGGUUAAUCAGGCACUAAAAGAAGAAAUCAAAAGGAUGCAUGGAUUGCGGAUAUUUACCUCUGUCCCCAAACUCUGACCACGCCCUGGCUGCAUAGAUGCUGCUGCUUAAGACCUUGGAUGAACUUGACUGACCUCAUUCUUCCCUAAGCAUUCACCAAAAAAUUUAUAUAUUUUGCUCAUAUACAUUUCCAUAUUAUAAUUAUAAAAGAUGUAUAACCUAUUUAGAUGUUAAUUAAAGGAAACAAACAACUGA
Molecule: RNA transcript, 494 nt
Organism: Mandrillus leucophaeus (drill)
Lineage: Eukaryota; Metazoa; Chordata; Mammalia; Primates; Cercopithecidae
Gene name: bolA-like protein 3 pseudogene
Exons: 1
Source: RefSeq, a predicted model, not a curated record